Molecule: non-coding RNA, 86 nt
Organism: Thermochaetoides thermophila DSM 1495
Lineage: Eukaryota; Fungi; Ascomycota; Sordariomycetes; Sordariales; Chaetomiaceae
Source: the annotation of a RefSeq genome assembly
GGCUGGAUGGCCGAGCGGUCUAAGGCGGUAGACUCAAGAAUGUUCUACUCUCGAAAGAGGCGCGCGUUCGAAUCGCGCUCCAGUCA